This 294-nucleotide ribosomal RNA is filed under the name uncultured bacterium. RNAcentral describes it as "partial 16S ribosomal RNA". It matches the Rfam family "Bacterial small subunit ribosomal RNA", at positions 775 to 1067 of the family's 1533-position model. The record is from RNAcentral.
GGAUUAGAUACCCUGGUAGUCCACGCUGUAAACGAUGUCAACUAGCUGUUUCUCAUAUAAAGAUGGGGGGUGGCGCAGCAAACGCGAUAAGUUGACCGCCUGGGGAGUACGGUCGCAAGAUUAAAACUCAAAGGAAUUGACGGGGGCCCGCACAAGCGGUGGAGCAUGUGGUUUAAUUCGAUGCAACGCGAAGAACCUUACCUACCCUUGACAUACAGUGGAGCCUGAAGAGAUUUGGGUGUGCCGGAAGGAACACUGAUACAGGUGCUGCAUGGCUGUCGUCAGCUCGUGCCG